Small nucleolar RNA from Varanus komodoensis (Komodo dragon), 194 nucleotides. Ensembl annotates it as small nucleolar RNA, C/D box 97. NCBI's taxonomy places the organism in Eukaryota, Metazoa, Chordata, Lepidosauria, Squamata, Varanidae. The record is from Ensembl.
AUGCCCAAUGAUUAUAACAAGACGCGUUAUUACGAGGACUGGUGCUGGAACUCCCUUUCUAUCUUCUUCCAGUUCUUUACUUUUUCUCUCAAGUCCUCCUCUCCUUCUUGCACCCUUCUUUUUUCUCUCCCCCCCCCCAAACAUUCUUGGAGUUUCCAGUGUCCUGUGAGCAAGAUUAUGAGAUAUGAGGGCAA